This 1504-nucleotide long non-coding RNA is filed under the name Macaca fascicularis (crab-eating macaque). RNAcentral describes it as "lncRNA (ENSMFAG00000050110.1)". Lineage: Eukaryota; Metazoa; Chordata; Mammalia; Primates; Cercopithecidae. The record is from RNAcentral.
CUUCGCGGACGGAGGGGGAGCGAGGGGUCACCGGGCGGGCCGCGAGCCCUGGAGCUCGGCCAGGCGUGGACCCCGGGCCAGCCCCGCGCCUCUGUGGCCCGGGCGCCUCGUGCGUGUCCGUGAGCUCGCGUGCGCGCGUCACCUCGGCCCCCAACAUGACUUGGAGGGCGGCCCUACCCGCGCCGCCCUAGUGCUGCGAAGGGCCUGGGAGCCCAAACCCGGAACCGCCACCUGGGACUGGGAAGACGACAUGGCCAGAAGUCGAUCACUGAUAGCAUGGAACUGCCCCUUUCUGGGGAGGUAGGGUACACACAGAGGGCAGCCACCUCGAAAGAGAAGACAGUGCUCUCCAAGCCGCUUCAAUCCUCAACACAGCCAGCCUAUUGCCGGCCAGUCUUCAUCUGGAGCCCAAGACUCAGGUCUCAGGUCACACCUGCACCUGCCGUGGGCUUCAUCACAGACGCGUCUGCCCACCGUGGAGCCCUCCGGACUUCCUGGCAGCCACUCAUGCCGCUUUGCCCCAGGUUUCCAUGCAGCUGUGCCAUGCCUGGGUUCUGUACCUCACACCCUGGGUCUCUGAAGCCGACUCUCUCAGCGUCCUCUCCUCAAGCUCCUGCGCUAUCCUUCCCCUUCCCUGCGGGUGGGUGCUCCUCAAGCUUCCUGCCUGCCCAAGCCCCCCACUCCUCCUCUUGGGUGUGCUUCUGGGAGUGCAUCUGUGGCUCCCCAAGUGCGCUUCCAGUCCUGAGCCCUCCGGUGCACCCCACACCUACAUUUCCAAAUACCCGGGGAUCCAUGCAGCAAAGUCCUACCACCACACCACAGUCAUCCUGUCACACCCAAACUCCCUGCUCCAUCCAAUCUGCCUCUCUUCUAGCGACCAUCUUGCUUCCCUGGGUGGCACUCCUUGAUUCCCUGGCGAAUCUGUGUGAUCAGUCAGCUGGCCUGGACCACUGUUGCGGGAAACUGAGGACUAGAGAGACUGAUAGGGAGAACAGGAGGAUUGUUUAUUUAAGAUACUCACCAGCUUAGUGGAUUCAUAUCCAAAGAGCUGAGCAUUGAACAAAGACUGAGCAGGGUUUUUAUAAGCAAAUUUACAGAAGCAAACAAAAGCAGUUAAUCAUAUGGUAGGUCACAUAAUCUAUAGCAUAGCAUAACUUAACUUGUGGCCUUGCAUAGCUUGUAGCUUGUAACUGCAUUGAAAGAAAAAGAAGAACUGGCUAAAUACAGACAUUUGUAAAACAUAGUUAUGCCUAAGAAGCCAGGGAAAGGAGUAGCAGUAAUUUGUCUUUUUCCCUUUUUUUUUUCCCUUCAACUUUGCCCUGGAAGAAGGUGGUGGUGGGGGUGGUGUCUGGAGCCCAUUCCUUUGGCCUUGGUUUCUUAAACAGCAUUAUCCUAUAACUGUCUUUGAAGUGAGCUUGCUAGGCAGAAGAAAACUUGUCCUUUUCUUUUUAACCCUUGCCUUGCCUGUUACUUUUCUUGGAGUGAAUAAACGCAUAUUUAUUUU